This 416-nucleotide ribosomal RNA is filed under the name Porcellanopagurus filholi. RNAcentral's name for it is "partial 16S ribosomal RNA". It matches the Rfam family "Bacterial large subunit ribosomal RNA", at positions 1928 to 2597 of the family's 2925-position model. Lineage: Eukaryota; Metazoa; Arthropoda; Malacostraca; Decapoda; Paguridae. The record is from RNAcentral.
GAGCCGCAGUAUAUUGACUGUGCGAAGGUAGCAUAAUAGAUUGUCUUUUAAAUGGAGGCUUGAAUGAAAGGUUGGACAAAAUAUCAUCUGUUUCUUAAAUAAUUAUUGAAUUUGACUUUUAAGUGAAAAGGCUUAAAUAAAUUAAAAAGACGAUAAGACCCUAUAAAUCUUUACAAAAUGUUGUGCUGGGGCGGCGUAGAUAUAUAAAUUAACUGUCUAUAAUAUAAAAUCAGUAAUUACUGAUUAAUAAAUUUGAUCCUUAAAUUAGAUUGAAAGAUCAAGAUACUUUAGGGAUAACAGCGUUAUUUUUUUUGAGAGUUCAUAUCGAAGAAAAAGUUUGCGACCUCGAUGUUGAAUUAAAGUUUCUUUAUGGUGCAGCAGCUAUAAGAGAGAGUCUGUUCGACUUUUAAUACUUU